UACGGAGGGUGCAAGCGUUAAUCGGAAUUACUGGGCGUAAAGCGCACGUAGGUGGUUAUUUAAGUUGGCUGUGAAAGCCCAGGGCUUAACCUUGGAAUGCCAGCCAAGACUGGAUAACUAGAGUACAGUAGAGGGGUGUGGAAUUUCCGGUGUAGCGGUGAAAUGCGUAGAGAUCGGAAGGAACACCAGUGGCGAAGGCG
Molecule: ribosomal RNA, 200 nt
Filed under: uncultured bacterium
Lineage: Bacteria
Description: partial 16S ribosomal RNA
Rfam family: Bacterial small subunit ribosomal RNA
Source: RNAcentral